This 625-nucleotide ribosomal RNA is filed under the name Apiotrichum laibachii. Its description in RNAcentral is "eukaryotic LSU rRNA". It matches the Rfam family "Eukaryotic large subunit ribosomal RNA", at positions 53 to 670 of the family's 3401-position model. The record is from RNAcentral. Lineage: Eukaryota; Fungi; Basidiomycota; Tremellomycetes; Trichosporonales; Trichosporonaceae.
GAGGAAAAGAAACUAACAAGGAUUCCCUUAGUAACGGCGAGUGAACCGGGAAGAGCUCAAAUUUGAAAUCUGGCUGUCUUCGAUAGUCCGAGUUGUAAUCUAUAGAAGCGUUUUCCGUGCUGAACUGUGUAUAAGUCCCUUGGAACAGGGUAUCAAAGAGGGUGACAAUCCCGUACUUUACACAAUCAUCAGUGCUCUGUGAUACGUUCUCUACGAGUCGAGUUGUUUGGGAAUGCAGCUCAAAAUGGGUGGUAAAUUCCAUCUAAAGCUAAAUAUUGGCGAGAGACCGAUAGCGAACAAGUACCGUGAGGGAAAGAUGAAAAGCACUUUGGAAAGAGAGUUAAACAGUACGUGAAAUUGUUAAAAGGGAAACGAUUGAAGUCAGUCGUGUUUAUUGGAUUCAGCCGGUCUUCGGUGUACUUCCUUUAAACGGGUCAACAUCAGUUUUGUCCGGUGGAUAAAGGCAGUAGGAAUGUGGCUCCCUCGGGAGUGUUAUAGCCUAUUGUCACAUACACUGGAGGAGACUGAGGACUGCAGCUCGCCUUUUGGCCGGGGUUCGCCCACGUUCGAGCUUAGGAUGUUGACAUAAUGGCUUUAAACGACCCGUCUUGAAACACGGAACAAA